RNAcentral lists this ribosomal RNA (429 nucleotides) under Acidobacteriota bacterium. Its description in RNAcentral is "Acidobacteria bacterium partial 16S ribosomal RNA". It matches the Rfam family "Bacterial small subunit ribosomal RNA", at positions 355 to 776 of the family's 1533-position model. The record is from RNAcentral. Lineage: Bacteria; Pseudomonadati; Acidobacteriota.
UGGGGAAUUUUGGACAAUGGGGGAAACCCUGAUCCAGCCAUCCCGCGUGUGCGAUGAAGGCCUUCGGGUUGUAAAGCACUUUUGGCAGGAAAGAAACGUCAUGGGUUAAUACCCCGCGAAACUGACGGUACCUGCAGAAUAAGCACCGGCUAACUACGUGCCAGCAGCCGCGGUAAUACGUAGGGUGCAAGCGUUAAUCGGAAUUACUGGGCGUAAAGCGUGCGCAGGCGGUUCGGAAAGAAAGAUGUGAAAUCCCAGAGCUCAACUUUGGAACUGCAUUUUUAACUACCGGGCUAGAGUGUGUCAGAGGGAGGUGGAAUUCCGCGUGUGGCAGUGAAAUGCGUAGAUAUGCGGAGGAACACCGAUGGCGAAGGCAGCCUCCUGGGAUAACACUGACGCUCAUGCACGAAAGCGUGGGGAGCAAACAGG